RNAcentral lists this ribosomal RNA (356 nucleotides) under uncultured bacterium. RNAcentral describes it as "bacterial SSU rRNA". It matches the Rfam family "Bacterial small subunit ribosomal RNA", at positions 30 to 386 of the family's 1533-position model. The record is from RNAcentral.
AUUGAACGCUGGCGGCAUGCCUUACACAUGCAAGUCGAACGGCAGCACGGGAGCAAUCCUGGUGGCGAGUGGCGAACGGGUGAGUAAUAUAUCGGAACGUGCCCAGUCGUGGGGGAUAACGUAGCGAAAGUUACGCUAAUACCGCAUACGAUCUAUGGAUGAAAGCGGGGGAUCGCAAGACCUCGCGCGAUUGGAGCGGCCGAUAUCAGAUUAGGUAGUUGGUGGGGUAAAGGCUCACCAAGCCGACGAUCUGUAGCUGGUCUGAGAGGACGACCAGCCACACUGGGACUGAGACACGGCCCAGACUCCUACGGGAGGCAGCAGUGGGGAAUUUUGGACAAUGGGCGCAAGCCUGA